ACACGACUCUCGGCAACGGAUAUCUCGGCUCUCGCAUCGAUGAAGAACGUAGCGAAAUGUGAUACCUGGUGUGAAUUGCAGAAUCCCGCGAACCAUCGAGUCUUUGAACGCAAGUUGCGCCCGAGGCCACUCGGCCGAGGGCACGCCUGCCUGGGCGUCACGC
RNAcentral lists this ribosomal RNA (163 nucleotides) under Hordeum vulgare. It matches the Rfam family "5.8S ribosomal RNA". Rfam says of the family: 5.8S ribosomal RNA (5.8S rRNA) is a component of the large subunit of the eukaryotic ribosome. Lineage: Eukaryota; Viridiplantae; Streptophyta; Magnoliopsida; Poales; Poaceae. The record is from RNAcentral.